This 63-nucleotide transfer RNA is filed under the name Atkinsoniella sulphurata. RNAcentral describes it as "tRNA-Ile". RNAcentral also lists the same sequence under 1 other name. The record is from RNAcentral. Lineage: Eukaryota; Metazoa; Arthropoda; Insecta; Hemiptera; Cicadellidae.
AAUAGGAUGCCUGAAUAAAGGGUUAUUUUGAUAGAAUAAAUUAUACACUUAGUGUUUCUAUUA